UUUAAUUGAAGAGUUUGAUCAUGGCUCAGAUUGAACGCUGGCGGCAGGCCUAACACAUGCAAGUCGAGCGGUAACACAAGGGAGCUUGCUUCUGAGGUGACGAGCGGCGGACGGGUGAGUAAUGCCUAGGGAUCUGCCCAGUCGAGGGGGAUAACAGUUGGAAACGACUGCUAAUACCGCAUACGCCCUACGGGGGAAAGGAGGGGA
Molecule: ribosomal RNA, 207 nt
Filed under: Shewanella sp. SR43-4
Lineage: Bacteria; Pseudomonadati; Pseudomonadota; Gammaproteobacteria; Alteromonadales; Shewanellaceae
Description: partial 16S ribosomal RNA
Rfam family: Bacterial small subunit ribosomal RNA
Source: RNAcentral